UCCCUAGUGGUUCAUUGGCUAAGACUCUGCACUCCCGAUGCAGGAGGCCUGGGCUCGAUCCCUGGUCAGGGAA
RNAcentral lists this transfer RNA (73 nucleotides) under Capra hircus (goat). It matches the Rfam family "tRNA". Rfam says of the family: Transfer RNA (tRNA) molecules are approximately 80 nucleotides in length. Their secondary structure includes four short double-helical elements and three loops (D, anti-codon, and T loops). Lineage: Eukaryota; Metazoa; Chordata; Mammalia; Artiodactyla; Bovidae. RNAcentral also lists the same sequence under 1 other name. The record is from Rfam by way of RNAcentral.